UUACGGGUCGCUCCAGUGGGGAAUAUUGCACAAUGGAGGAAACUCUGAUGCAGCAACGCCGCGUGGAGGAUGACACUUUUCGGAGCGUAAACUCCUUUUAUAUAGGAAGAAGAUGACGGUACUAUAUGAAUAAGCGCCGGCUAACUCCGUGCCAGCAGCCGCGGUAAUACGGAGGGCGCAAGCGUUACUCGGAAUCACUGGGCGUAAAGAGCGUGUAGGCGGAUUAAAAAGUCAGAAGUGAAAUCCUAUAGCUUAACUAUAGAACUGCUUCUGAAACUCUUAAUCUAGAAUAUGGGAGAGGUAGAUGGAAUUUCUGGUGUAGGGGUAAAAUCCGUAGAGAUCAGAAGGAAUACCGAUUGCGAAGGCGAUCUACUAGAACAUUAUUGACGCUGAGACGCGAAAGCGUGGGGAGUAAACAGGAUUAGAUACCCCGGUAGUC
Molecule: ribosomal RNA, 439 nt
Filed under: uncultured bacterium
Lineage: Bacteria
Description: partial 16S ribosomal RNA
Rfam family: Bacterial small subunit ribosomal RNA
Source: RNAcentral